Molecule: ribosomal RNA, 483 nt
Filed under: uncultured bacterium
Lineage: Bacteria
Description: partial 16S ribosomal RNA
Rfam family: Bacterial small subunit ribosomal RNA
Source: RNAcentral
UGGGGAAUUUUGGACAAUGGGCGGAAGCCUGAUCCAGCAAUGCCGCGUGUGUGAAGAAGGCCUUCGGGUUGUAAAGCACUUUUGUCCGGAAAGAAAUCCUUGGCUCUAAUACAGUCGGGGGAUGACGGUACCGGAAGAAUAAGCACCGGCUAACUACGUGCCAGCAGCCGCGGUAAUACGUAGGGUGCAAGCGUUAAUCGGAAUUACUGGGCGUAAAGCGUGCGCAGGCGGUUUGCUAAGACAGAUGUGAAAUCCCCGGGCUUAACCUGGGAACUGCAUUUGUGACUGGCGGGCUAGAGUAUGGCAGAGGGGGGUAGAAUUCCACGUGUAGCAGUGAAAUGCGUAGAGAUGUGGAGGAAUACCGAUGGCGAAGGCAGCCCCCUGGGCCAAUACUGACGCUCAUGCACGAAAAGGCGUGGGGGAGCAAACAGGAUUAGAUACCCUGGUAGUCCACGCCCUAAACGAUGUCAACUAGUUGUCGGG